CACUGCUGGGUGAAGCUGAAGAUCUCAAGAUGCGGCUGCCUGCAGCCAGAGCUGGAGGGUGCUAGGACCUGGUGGAGCUGAAUUCCUUUUGCAGGGUAGACAGUGCAUAGGCUAACCCAGAAACAGGGGAAUCCUAGCUGCUGUUUUCCAAGAGGGCUUUCCCAGCACCAAAGGAGACUCCUGCCACCCAAGCGCUGACCGGGGACCUACGCCAGACCAGCUCCUCUCCCUUCAGGGUUUUCCCAGGCUGCAUCUUGCAAGGAGAUGUGACUGGGCAGAGCAGCUUGCUGGGGGCCUCAGAGCCCUAGAAAGUUGCCUGAAGGAGGGGUGUAUGCUCCUUGGUACAACUGGGACCAUGGCAUGUGGGGGCAGUGGGGUCUGUGGAUCUUCUCUGAGACAGCAGG
Long non-coding RNA from Gavialis gangeticus (Gharial), 404 nucleotides. RefSeq lists it as uncharacterized. The transcript has 3 exons. The record is from RefSeq and is a predicted model, not a curated record. Lineage: Eukaryota; Metazoa; Chordata; Crocodylia; Gavialidae.